RNAcentral lists this ribosomal RNA (564 nucleotides) under Amycolatopsis sp. 340D04. RNAcentral's name for it is "bacterial SSU rRNA". It matches the Rfam family "Bacterial small subunit ribosomal RNA", at positions 93 to 671 of the family's 1533-position model. The record is from RNAcentral. Lineage: Bacteria; Bacillati; Actinomycetota; Actinomycetes; Pseudonocardiales; Pseudonocardiaceae.
GAGUGGCGAACGGGUGAGUAACACGUGGGUAAUCUGCCCUGCACUCUGGGAUAAGCCUUGGAAACGGGGUCUAAUACCGGAUAUCACAACUUCAGGCAUCUGGGGUUGUUGAAAGUUCUGGCGGUGCAGGAUGAACCCGCGGCCUAUCAGCUUGUUGGUGGGGUAAUGGCCUACCAAGGCGACGACGGGUAGCCGGCCUGAGAGGGUGACCGGCCACACUGGGACUGAGACACGGCCCAGACUCCUACGGGAGGCAGCAGUGGGGAAUAUUGCACAAUGGGCGAAAGCCUGAUGCAGCGACGCCGCGUGAGGGAUGACGGCCUUCGGGUUGUAAACCUCUUUCGCCAGGGACGAAGCGCAAGUGACGGUACCUGGAUAAGAAGCACCGGCUAACUACGUGCCAGCAGCCGCGGUAAUACGUAGGGUGCGAGCGUUGUCCGGAAUUAUUGGGCGUAAAGAGCUCGUAGGCGGUUUGUCGCGUCGGCCGUGAAAUCUCCACGCUUAACGUGGAGCGUGCGGUCGAUACGGGCAGACUUGAGUUCGGUAGGGGAGACUGGAAUUNCU